Molecule: ribosomal RNA, 161 nt
Filed under: uncultured bacterium
Lineage: Bacteria
Description: partial 16S ribosomal RNA
Rfam family: Bacterial small subunit ribosomal RNA
Source: RNAcentral
CAUGCCGCGUGUGUGAAGAAGGCCUUAGGGUUGUAAAGCACUUUCAGCAGGGAGGAAAGCUGAUCGUUAAUACCGGUCAGUGUUGACGUUACCUGCAGAAGAAGCACCGGCUAACUCCGUGCCAGCAACCUCGGUGACUGAGCGGGCUGGCAAGGCGCAUA